Molecule: unclassified non-coding RNA, 273 nt
Filed under: uncultured fungus
Lineage: Eukaryota; Fungi
Description: partial contains small subunit ribosomal RNA, internal transcribed spacer 1, and 5.8S ribosomal RNA
Rfam family: Eukaryotic small subunit ribosomal RNA (bases 1-73)
Source: RNAcentral
ACAAACUUGGUCAUUUAGAGGAAGUAAAAGUCGUAACAAGGUUUCCGUAGGUGAACCUGCGGAAGGAUCAUUAGAGAUUUAGUAAAUCCUAUCACCCAUGUGCAACCUGCGAAGUUUGAUAUCCUUGGAGAGAUCAUCGUCCGUGAACUCUCCAAGGAGGUUAUCACGAUUAAUGUAUCUUUUCUUUACUUUUCUAUGUCUAAAUCAAUGAAUGUAAUUAAAAAAACUUUCAACAACGGAUCUCUUGGCUCUCGCAUCGAUGAAGAACGCAGC